UUCGUAGGUGGCCAACUAAGUCAUACGUGAAAUCCCUCAGCUUAACUGGGGAACUGCGCCUGAUACUGGUUGGCUUGAGUGCAGGAGAGGAACGCGGAAUUCCAGGUGUAGCGGUGGAAUGCGUAGAUAUCUGGAGGAACACCGGUGGCGAAGGCGGCGUUCUGGACUGCAACUGACACUGAGGAACGAAAGCCAGGGGAGCAAACG
Molecule: ribosomal RNA, 207 nt
Filed under: uncultured bacterium
Lineage: Bacteria
Description: partial 16S ribosomal RNA
Rfam family: Bacterial small subunit ribosomal RNA
Source: RNAcentral